Equus caballus (horse) is the source of this 2087-nucleotide non-coding RNA. Lineage: Eukaryota; Metazoa; Chordata; Mammalia; Perissodactyla; Equidae. The record is from RefSeq and is a predicted model, not a curated record.
AACGACAUCAAGGACCCAAAUGCACAUGAGAGGCAGCCUGGCUCAGCACUCUGAAUUGAAAGUUAAGGAACUCAAGCUCAAGCUCCAGCUCUCCAGUACUAAGGUGUGUAAGGAGCAAAUUAUUUGGCCUUUUUGAUCGUUAGUUUUUUCAUACAUAAACUGAAAGGGCUAUACCAGAUGAUUACUGAGAUCUUUCUUAACUCUAAAUUUCUAUGAUUACAUUCUAAAUUUGAUUUCCUUUGAUGCCUAAAAACAAAUGAACACCAAAUAUGCUGUAUUUCUGGUUCGGCCUUUGUGUUAUCUAAGAACUUAUGAAAUGACAAAUUUUAACCAUUCAAAUCUACCAGUGAAAAUAACCACAUUGAGGGUGAUUUUUUGUUUGCUUAAUACGAGUGCUCUCACAUGUUUCAAAUGCCAUUCAAUUAUAAGAUCCUACAAUGAGGAGGUCGGCAGCUUUCUGUUGUGGGUAUAGGGUAGCAGGGUUGAUCUGUCUCCAAAAGCUGAAAUAAUUCACACGGCCACCCAGUGACAAGUCCACUGAAGCAUAAAGUAAUCGAGUUAAUAAGUGACUGCUUAUAAUUCCCAACAAUUUCCAGAAACAGGAAAAUGAAAAUCUAAAAUUGACAAUGACGAAAAGAAGGUGACAAGCAUCUGGAAUAAGAAUUCCUACAAGAACACAAUCUUCACUCGGUUGUUCAGCCUACCUAGAGAAGACAGUGAGAAGGACAGAAAUUAACUGCACCUGGGGUUCACUGGGAUUGAACAACUGCAGCUUGCCAUUUCACAGGGCCAAGAAUCUCUGGCUGUUAUGCCUCAAGUGGAAUAAGAGUCCUGGAGAAAUUCUUUUGCUACCACAACUAUUUCAGUGCAGUUCUAAGUGUUGGUUCUACUAAAAAAUUUUUUUUCAGUACUACGAAAACCACGGUACGUGACAUUUAAAAAUAAAAACUUCACCUCUCUUUGCCACAUCUACUUUGAGAAUGAAGACCAUUUUCAACAGACUGUCAACAAUCCAGGAAAUGUCAACAUCACUCUGAAGGGAAGCACAGUUAUUGAGAUGGACCCCAGAGGAACCCUGCGGAGGGACUUCAGUCACAUCAACAUAGACCUCGGUCUCCUUGGAAAGAAAAAGACGAGGCUACAGGUUGACAAUGGUGGGGAAAUAGAGAAGACUGGCUGCGGUUCGCAGUAGCUGGAGUCCGGUACAGAACAUGACCAAGGGUGUUACUCUGCUUCUAUUACAAGAUAAAGUCCAGAUAUUCUUGAAGUGCUUACCCUGUACCAAACACAAUUCAAUUCUGGGAAUAAGGAGAUUAAAGACACAACUUCUGAUAUAAAGGCACUCAGAGUUAAUUGGGCGAAACCAAAAUGUGAACGGAAUGACCCAGAGUCGUACGUCCAGUGAUAAUAGACACUUUGGAAGCACACAGGAGGGGGACUAGGCCAGCCUGGGAAGGUCCAGGAAGGCUACCUGAAGAAAGUGACACCUGAAGUCAAAGAUAAACAAGAAUUAGCCUGGUUUAAAAAAAAAGAAGGCAACAAGUCUCUCUUCUAUUAUUCUUUAUGAUUUCUUAUCUAACAUACUUGUUUCACGUGAGAAUUUGAUCUAUUCCAUAAACCUUUUGAAGGAAAAAUGACAUCGUUAUCAUUGCUACAUCAAAAUAAGAUUAGUUAACAAAGAGUAUUAGAACACAUUAAAUAUCGAAAGACGAAGACUUGAAACAAAUCCAACACUAGCGUUAAUGCAACACCCAAACAGGAAAGAACAUGGCAACUCUGCAGAGUUCAAGGAGCUUUGUCUACCCAUGUUUCUACAGAGCACUACCUGAAGACAAGGCAUUUUGCUAGGUGUUGUAGUAGAUGCAAUAAUGAAUAAAGCUGGGCUCUCUCAUCAGGGAAUUUAUCAGCUCACCUUACCUGCAUGUUCCUUCCAGGGAAAGAGAGAAAGGUCUGGAGUGGCAGUUCUCAAACUUUUUGGUCUUGGGACUCAUUUAUACUCUUAAAAAUUAUUGAGGACUCACAGAGGUUUUAUUUAUGAGGCAUAGGUUUACCAUAUUAAGAAUUAAAACUGAUGAAUUUUUAAAGCA